AUUUGCACACAUUUUGUGACAAAAAAGUCAACUUCUUUUAGUUUAUUUUUGACAAAAUGGUUAAAACAGAACCAGCAUCAAGUACUCCUAAGCGGAAAGUAGACACUGGCAAUGGUCCAUACGUCUGCAAGUUCACAUUUCAUGAACAGAUUGAGUGAAAUAUGCAAAGAAAGCAGACUGGCUGCAGACCCUGAAAUUCAGAAGUAAAGAAUGCUGUUCUUUUUCUACAGUCAUGGUGUCUGUAAGGGAAACAUAGUUUAAGAGAGUCUUGGAAGACAUUUAAUAAUGUGAAGUAACAGCUGCAGACCGCAGACUUCAGAAAUGCAGGUCUUUAUUCUACAUGUUCAUGAUGUGGAGGGAAACAUAGUGGAUUUUUGAAUUUCACAGCAGUCAUAGAAAACAGUUAUUAA
This is a long non-coding RNA of Mercenaria mercenaria, 410 nucleotides long. RefSeq lists it as uncharacterized. The transcript is spliced from 4 exons. NCBI's taxonomy places the organism in Eukaryota, Metazoa, Mollusca, Bivalvia, Venerida, Veneridae. The record is from RefSeq and is a predicted model, not a curated record.